AGGGAUGUAGCACAACUUGGUAGAGGGUUUGUUUAGGGUACAAAAUGUCAGAGGUUCAAAUCCUAUCAACCCUA
Non-coding RNA from Beta vulgaris subsp. vulgaris (sugar beet), 74 nucleotides. NCBI's taxonomy places the organism in Eukaryota, Viridiplantae, Streptophyta, Magnoliopsida, Caryophyllales, Amaranthaceae. The record is from Rfam.